Molecule: ribosomal RNA, 382 nt
Filed under: uncultured bacterium
Lineage: Bacteria
Description: bacterial SSU rRNA
Rfam family: Bacterial small subunit ribosomal RNA
Source: RNAcentral
AUUGAACGCUGGCGGCAUGCCUUACACAUGCAAGUCGAACGGCAGCACGGGAGCAAUCCUGGUGGCGAGUGGCGAACGGGUGAGUAAUGCAUCGGAACGUGCCAUUGAGUGGGGGAUAACGUAGCGAAAGUUGCGCUAAUACCGCAUAUUCUGUGAGCAGGAAAGCAGGGGACCGCAAGGCCUUGCGCUCUUUGAGCGGCCGAUGUCAGAUUAGCUAGUUGGUGAGGUAACGGCUUACCAAGGCGACGAUCUGUAGCGGGUCUGAGAGGAUGAUCCGCCACACUGGAACUGAGACACGGUCCAGACUCCUACGGGAGGCAGCAGUGGGGAAUUUUGGACAAUGGGCGCAAGCCUGAUCCAGCCAUGCCGCGUGAGUGAAGAA